CUAUUAUACACCACAGGAAAGAAUUAAAUAUCAAUGAAUAAAUAAAGUCAGCGCUGACUUCUUUUAGGAUUUUAUAUCUCUGUUUUUUUAAUAUAACCUUAGGAUUUUAAAAUGAGAGAGGAGGAGUAUGAUUUCUACGUCACUAUACGUCGCUUGUUCCUCUUGGCAGUCAUUCAGUAUUCGUAUUACCAAAUAUUGCGGUUUCAAGGCCUGACACACGAACAGGUUCUUUGGAUUGCCCAGGUUGAAACUUUGACUUUGUUUGUGCUUUGCUGUAUUCAUUCUUUUUUCCUCUGACAGACGCUAAUGACACUUAUUACAAAUUAGAUGACGUAUUAGUACUUAGAAGACGAUGUUGAGAAUCUCUUUGCAAAGAAAAAAGAAAUGUCGACUGAAAAUGUUUAUUUUUACAAUUUAUUCUUCGUCAAUUUCCUUAUACAAAGAUUUUUUUUACCUUUUAAAUUCUUGUAGAAUUCAAUGGUUAUCUGAAAUUAGUCUUUUAAAUAUUUCUUCUGUACUAAAAUGUAUUUUUGCAUUUUAGCUUUUUUUUACAAAUUGCACACAUGUACUUAGUUAAUGUUGAAUAAAAGAAAUG
This is a long non-coding RNA of Argiope bruennichi, 595 nucleotides long. RefSeq lists it as uncharacterized. The transcript is spliced from 3 exons. NCBI's taxonomy places the organism in Eukaryota, Metazoa, Arthropoda, Arachnida, Araneae, Araneidae. The record is from RefSeq and is a predicted model, not a curated record.